GAAACUUUCAAUUUAAACUUAAAUUAAAUUUGAAAUUUGACAGAAGAAUAAAGAUAAAAAUGAUUGUUAAAUCAAAUUACACAAACAUAACAGGCGGCACCGCGAUGUGCAUUCAUUGUGAGAAAACAAUUAAAACCAGCAGUAAUUCAUCGAAUUUGUCGUCCCACUUGCGCAAUAAGCAUAGCGAAAUUUUUCAAAAUGCGCGCAAAAAAAGCUGUCAGUGAACUUGGAAAGAGUACUUACAAUAUCUGAAUCCUUCAAGAGUGCUGAAGCCUUUAAAGAAAAUGGAAAUAAGACAAAGGAGAUUAAUGAAGCAAUUGUGUACAUGAUCUGUAAGGACAACGUGCGAGUCCGCUGUGUAGAAAAAGAGGGCCUCAAGAGACUUCUCAAAAAGUGUGUGCCGCAUUUUAAAAUGCCUUGCAGAUCCACGGGAAAUAACAACAAUGGUUGAAGAGAAGUACUACCAGUGCGUUGGAGCUGUGUUGAAAAUGCUAAGCAAUGCAAAUGACGUUGCGUUUACCUGCGAUGCCGUAACCAUACCGAACUCGAGUCGUUCGUUCCUUACCAUCACUGCGCAUUUUAUUGAAAAGGAUUCACUAAAUUCAAUCUGCCUUGCAUCGUCAAGAAUGAAUCAAAUUUCCGAUGUCACAAAACCGGAAGACUUUUUUGACGAUUUCAUGAGCGCACACAAUCACUCAAUCACAAAAGAAUUGAGCGGUGUGUCGGAGCAAAAUAAGGAGCUGAAACUAUACUUUAGAUUGCCCCAAGCUGCGCGGGAAUGUAACCCGCUGGAGGUGUGGAAAUCCCAUAGGGCGACCAUGCCGGGUCUUUACAAGAUGGCCAUGCGACAUCUUAUCACUCCAGGUAGCUCGGUGCCUUCAGAGCGGUUGGCAUCCGCAAUAAAAUGUGUAGCUUGCGAUGCUAGGAGCCGAAUGACGGACAUACACGUAAAGCAAAGAGUGUUUUUAAAAUCUUUAAAUUCUGCCAAUUGGGCUUGAUGUUACAUUUAGAUACAUAUAAGACAUAAGA
RNA transcript from Drosophila nasuta, 1029 nucleotides. RefSeq lists it as uncharacterized. NCBI's taxonomy places the organism in Eukaryota, Metazoa, Arthropoda, Insecta, Diptera, Drosophilidae. The record is from RefSeq and is a predicted model, not a curated record. The transcript is spliced from 5 exons.